This 253-nucleotide ribosomal RNA is filed under the name uncultured bacterium. Its description in RNAcentral is "partial 16S ribosomal RNA". It matches the Rfam family "Bacterial small subunit ribosomal RNA", at positions 524 to 776 of the family's 1533-position model. The record is from RNAcentral.
UACGGGGGGGGCAAGCGUUGUUCGGAAUUACUGGGCGUAAAGCGCGCGUAGGCGGCUUUGUAAGUUAGAGGUGAAAGCCCGGAGCUCAACUCCGGAACUGCCUUUAAAACUGCAUCGCUUGAAUCCAGGAGAGGUGAGUGGAAUUCCGAGUGUAGAGGUGAAAUUCGUAGAUAUUCGCAAGAACACCAGUGGCGAAGGCGGCUCACUGGCCCGGUACUGACGCUGAGGUGCGAAAGCGUGGGGAGCAAACAGG